AAAUAAACUAUUGUUUUCAAACAUUCAUUUCAACGUACAUUUAAUCUCAUUUUACCUCAAAUUUUAAUGUCAUUAAACUAAAUUUUUAAGAGUUAAUUUCUACCUCAUAAUUUUGUUUUUUCUUUUUUGGAAUAUAUGCAUACAUAAAAGUUGAUUCAUGGGUCGGUAUGAACAAUCAUAAAUAUCUCCUCAAAUACCAUUUGGUCAGAAUUGAGUUUAUCAUCAUCAGGCCCAAGCCCAUACAAAAGAGAUCCAAACUAGUCUUAGGGCCCAUGAGUUUUUUUUUUGUUUUUUUUUUGGGUUAUGACUCAAUGAGUCUCAAUUUGGAAAAGAAAAGAAAAGAAAAGAAAGAGAAAGAAAAUAGCAAGAGGUUUCCAAGAUCCGGGGCAUUUGCUGGUGUAGAUGGAAGCUAAAUCUCAGGAGAAGACGUCGACAACUGUUUGGUAAUCUUCAUUUUACAUCAAGCGUUUCCAGCUGCCAAUCUGAAUUUCAAAGAUACAAAUUUGAAGAUUGAAUUCCAGAACCUCCAAUGGAAUCACCCACUGGAAUGAAUUUGACUAAUGGCAAGAUUCAUCCAUUCAAUGAUAAAACUUCCAAGCCCUUUAAGAUCUUUGUGGGUUAUGAUCCUCGGGAAGAUAUUGCUUAUGAGGUUUGUCGCUACUCAAUUCUAAAACGAGCUUCAAUUCCUGUUGAGGUCAUACCAAUAAAACAGUCUGAGUUGAGAAAAAAGGGAUUGUAUUGGCGUGAAAGAGGGAAGCUGGAGAGCACCGAGUUUUCAUUUUCUCGGUUCUUGACUCCAUACUUGGCUAAUUAUGAUGGUUGGGCAAUGUUCGUGGAUUGUGAUUUUCUUUAUUUGGCAGACAUUAAGGAAUUGAGAGAUUUGGUUGAUGAUAAUUGCGCAAUAAUGUGUGUGCAACAUGAUUAUGCGCCCAAGGAGACUACAAAAAUGGAUGGGGCGGUGCAAACGGUGUAUCCGAGGAAGAAUUGGUCUUCAAUGGUUUUGUAUAAUUGUGGGCAUCCCAAGAACAGGGUGUUGACGCCUGACGUGGUGAAUUCUCAAACAGGUGCUUAUCUUCAUAGAUUUAUGUGGUUAGAUGAUCAUGAGAUUGGGUCAGUUCCAUUUGUUUGGAAUUUUCUUGUGGGUCAUAACAAGGUUAUUGAGGAUGAUCCAAGUACGCUCCCCAAGGCCAUACACUAUACUCUAGGAGGACCAUGGUUCGAGAGUUGGAAAAACUGUGAGUUUGCAGACUUGUGGGUGAAUGAAAUGGAAGAAUGUCAGAAGGAAAUGAAGACCAAAACAGAAUAGGUGGCAUCAAUCAACAGCACAAUCUCUGCUGCUGUAAUUAGCCAUGAUGAGCCAACUGAUGAGGAGUAAGUGGGGCAUUCUUGGGUAAGAGAGCUAGCUGAGGAGCUCAACUCUUGGGGAGUAAAUUAGGAUGGAUUUUCCUUACUUGACUAGUAUUUUAUUAAAAACCUUGUGGAUUUUGGGAAUAGUAUUGAUCAUUUAAUUGUAGGUCUACUACUGUUCUUGAUGUCAAAUUCAUUAAGGCUGUUGAUUGCUUUGAUUUAUGAUUCAAAGAAAAAAGAUGAUGAUGAUUGGACAGUUGUUUUUUUGUACUGAGCUAGGGUUGGUAUGAAACACGUGAGUCAGACCAUCGGUACUUCUGAAUCUAAAAGUUGUGCAUUUAAGAGUGUAGUAUGUUAUUGACUGGAAAGGCAUGUAAGGUUUAUACCAAGGCAAUUCACUAGAAAAACUACCUGAGGCAGUCUUGCUUCAUCAUGAUGUUGCUCACUCGAUCUAAAUAUCUCAUAGCUUGUGGUUUCCAUUAUGUUUGGAGUUCACAUCUUCUUUUGAAGUAAAUGGUCCUCACUAAAGUGGAGUAUUUUGGGAAUCGGUGGUCCUAUGUAGUGCUGGCACUGGUUGGAUGCUUUUGUCCUCUUCUCCCAUCAGAUUAGAUGCUGACACAGCACUACAUCCUGGGUCCUUAAGUUCUUAUCUUGAUUUUUUAUGCUCAUGUUGACACUUUGAUGUGCUUUUUUGUUAGGUUUUUCCUUAUGAUUCAUAUUCUUAUUUACUCUUUUCAACCUCAUAUACUGGGAUGAAGCAUUUGUCAACUUUAGGCACAUAUUUGAUCUCGGCUUCCCUCCUUCCCCAUUCUCAUCAUUGUAACCAUGUCAGAUGCUAGGUGGAUGGUUCCUACAAACAACAUACGAUUCUCUAGAUGUUGCAUGGGUUUGGGUAUGAGUGUUGAGCAUCGGAUAUGAGUAUGUGUCUAGGUGUUUGAUCCUACACAACUUAGAAUUUUAAGAUACUAGGACUCGGCUCUCAAAUUUUAGGAUAUUGGGGCUCAGCUAAUAAUGAUCGAAAAGAGGGGACAUAGGUACUAGGAAAAAGAAAAGUGAAUUAGAAAUAAAUCGUAAGUGAAGAUAUCUUUUUUAAAAACUAUAUUUUUUUUACUAGAUCCUUGUUUUCCUUGUGUCCCUAAAUCUUCUUACAAAAAUUCAUUUUUCUGUCUACUCUUCCUUUUUCCUAAUGUCAUGAGUAUCCGAGGAGGAUCCAAGCUUACCCAUGUCAUGAGUUGUCUACUUACGUAGGUUGGUGAAAUUGAAGCAUCCCAAACUUACCCAUGUCAUGAGUUGUCCACAUAGGUAGGUUGGUGAAAUUAAAGGAUUCAGAUAUCACAACUCUUAGGUUCAUUUUUCACAUGGUACCACAAAACAACUUUCUCAAAGCACAAUCCUGUUCACAUUCUUUAUCAGAUCUGCUAUUUGUAAUGCUUGACCUCGGAUUAUAUACUGUUCUUGUGCUUGCUUUAUUGAUAGGCACCCUUUUAUGUAGUUCAACUGAGAUCACCCAUUGUUUGCUUGCCUUAUUUUCUUGCUAAACAUGCAUUGGGUAGAACUAGAUUUUCUGUCUGGGAACAUAGCUGUUUAAUGUGAGGGGGAUAGGGUUGAAGCAACAUGAUACAACUCACUUCAUAGGUCAUGUCCAUUGCUGCAACAAACUUCAAAUUCACUGUUUUACUGCAAAUGUGAAAGCCAAAAAAGUAGUAGACAAUAUGGAAGGUAUGGAUAUUGAAAGUUUGGUGUAGCAUUGGAUUCUGAGCUGUAGCAUGUGGGUGUGUGACCCAAGCUCCCCCACACGUUAUUUUCAGGUCAUGUUAAUAAUUAGCAUAACCCCAUAUGUCUGUUGGUACAUGACAUUAAUCUAGGCUACGUGUCAACUUAUGGUUCACAAGCUUAUGAGCCUGUCUUCCCUAAUCACCUCGAUCACAUGUGUAAAAUCAUAGUUGGAAAGAUUGAAGGAGAGGCUCUUAUCUGUACUAGUGAAUAUGAUAUUGAUGGGUCAGAGGUGGGUGGGUGUCUUGGGGGGAAGGUGUUUACUGGGAGGUAAUCAUAUCAAAGCCUCUUUCCAGCCUGCCCCAGCUUUAUAAAUUCUACAUGAGGUAUGACUUUUAGAGGAUAAGAUAAGGAGGGAUUCUUCUAGUUUUCAUAAAUAUUUUCACCUGCUUUCUGUAGACUAGUUUGAGAAACAAGAAAAAUGGAUAGCGCUCCAGAUGCUCAAGAGAUGUCCUAUUUUGAUCAUGUCCAAAAACGCAAGGACGAGAAGGGAUGCCUCUAUGCUUGCGUGUUUGGGGCGUUGUGCUGCUGUUGCUGCUAUGAAACGUGCGAGUGCUGCUUGGACUGUCUCUGCUGCUGUCUCUAAUCUUCUGUCCAUGUCUUUAUUUCUUUUGUAAAACUUUGUAAUAAUCAUGUUGGAAUUUCUUGUAUUUUUGGCAUCUCCUCCUUUGCCUGAUGUAUGCGUGCCUUUUAAUUCAGAAGUGAUUUUAGUUUUCUCUUGGAUGAGAAAGCUAUGAAAA
Vitis vinifera (wine grape) is the source of this 3860-nucleotide RNA transcript. It is a transcript of the gene named protein CDI, with no coding region annotated. The transcript has 4 exons. The record is from RefSeq and is a predicted model, not a curated record. NCBI's taxonomy places the organism in Eukaryota, Viridiplantae, Streptophyta, Magnoliopsida, Vitales, Vitaceae.